UAGUCCACGCCCUAAACGAUGUCAACUAGCUGUUGGAGGAAAUCAGUCCUUUAGUAGCGUAGCUAACGCGCUAAGUUGACCGCCUGGGGAGUACGGCCGCAAGGUUAAAACUCAAAUGAAUUGACGGGGGCCCGCACAAGCGGUGGAGCAUGUGGUUUAAUUCGAUGCAACGCGAAGAACCUUACCUGGCCUUGACAUGCCGAGAACUUUCCAGAGAUGGAUUGGUGCCUUCGGGAACUCGGACACAGGUGCUGCAUGGCUGUCGUCAGCCCGUGUCGUGAGAUGUUGGGUUAAGUCCCGCAACGAGCGCAACCCUUGUCCUUAGUUGCCAGCACGUAAAGGUGGGAACUCUAAGGAGACUGCCGGUGACAAACCGGAGGAAGGCGGGGAUGACGUCAAGUCAUCAUGGCCCUUACGGCCAGGGCUACACACGUGCUACAAUGGGCAGUACAGAGGGUUGCGAAGCAGCGAUGUGAAGCUAAUCCCAGAAAGCUGUCCGUAGUCCGG
RNAcentral lists this ribosomal RNA (507 nucleotides) under uncultured bacterium. RNAcentral's name for it is "bacterial SSU rRNA". It matches the Rfam family "Bacterial small subunit ribosomal RNA", at positions 791 to 1296 of the family's 1533-position model. The record is from RNAcentral.